This 75-nucleotide transfer RNA is filed under the name Candidatus Pacearchaeota archaeon. RNAcentral describes it as "tRNA-Lys". It matches the Rfam family "tRNA". Rfam says of the family: Transfer RNA (tRNA) molecules are approximately 80 nucleotides in length. Their secondary structure includes four short double-helical elements and three loops (D, anti-codon, and T loops). Further hydrogen bonds mediate the characteristic L-shaped molecular structure. tRNAs have two regions of fundamental functional importance: the anti-codon, which is responsible for specific mRNA codon recognition, and the 3' end, to which the tRNAs corresponding amino acid is attached (by aminoacyl-tRNA synthetases). tRNAs cope with the degeneracy of the genetic code in two manners: having more than one tRNA (with a specific anti-codon) for a particular amino acid; and 'wobble' base-pairing, i.e. permitting non-standard base-pairing at the 3rd anti-codon position. The record is from RNAcentral. Lineage: Archaea; Nanobdellati.
GGCUCCAUAGCUCAGUCUGGUUAGAGCACCGGCCUUUUAAGCCGGGUGUCGGGGGUUCAAAUCCCCCUGGGGCCA